AUAUUAAUAAGGGGAGGAAAAGAAACUAACAAGGAUUCCCUUAGUAACGGCGAGUGAAGCGGGAAGAGCUCAAUUUGAAAAUCGAUUACCUAGACGGGUCAUCGAGUUGUAGCCUAGAGACGUACUAUCAGCUGAAACCUGGGCAUAAGUUCUUUGGAAUGAGGCGCUAUAAAGGGUGAGAGCCCCGUAUAUGGCCCAAAGCUUUCAGCGUACGAUGUAUGUUCAUCGAGUCGAGUUGUUUGGGGAUUGCAGCUCUAAAUGGGAGGUAAAUUUCUUCUAAAGCUAAAUACCGGCCAGAGACCGAUAGCGCACAAGUA
This 317-nucleotide ribosomal RNA is filed under the name uncultured eukaryote. RNAcentral describes it as "partial large subunit ribosomal RNA". It matches the Rfam family "Eukaryotic large subunit ribosomal RNA", at positions 40 to 350 of the family's 3401-position model. The record is from RNAcentral.